AAAAAGGGUAUCUGUUGUGACAACUUGGACCCAAUAAAGGAAUCACUAUCAAGAGAUUUCAGAUGUACUAUUUUUUUGCAUAUGGAGUUUACCAGUAGCCAAUGUUCUUGGCGUCCCA
This is a small nuclear RNA of Ctenopharyngodon idella (grass carp), 118 nucleotides long. RefSeq annotates it as U11 spliceosomal RNA. Lineage: Eukaryota; Metazoa; Chordata; Actinopteri; Cypriniformes; Xenocyprididae. The record is from RefSeq and is a predicted model, not a curated record. The transcript has a single exon.